UCGUGGUUGUCUAUCUGAUCGUAAGGAUUCUUCUUGAGACUAUGAACGUCGCUUGGCUUGCAAAUGGCGUCGAAGUGGAGGUUAGGUUUCCCGGCGAGGUUCGGCUCUCCGAGACCUAGAGUGUAUGGACACUGCCUCAUCUCGCAUUCGAUGGUGUAGAGGAUUUUCUGCGCGAUGUCCUCCGAUUUCUGCCACGUCGCAAGGAGAGGAAGGAGGCUGGCCUCGCUAGUCAAGUUGACCACGGUGGUUUCAGGUGAGACCUUCCAUACCUCAGCGUAACUCCCAUCCCGACCCAAAAUGCCGUUAGAUGAACGUAAAUCAAACACCGGUGCCGUCCCACGUGUGUCUCCAUCUUCUUCGUUGUCUUCACAAAGUAUAGCAACCAGCUGAAUCUGUGAAGUAGCAAGCGACUCGAGCCUCCGCUUCCAUUCUCUCCGAUUCGCAUACGGUCUCGGG
Molecule: long non-coding RNA, 456 nt
Filed under: Manihot esculenta (cassava)
Lineage: Eukaryota; Viridiplantae; Streptophyta; Magnoliopsida; Malpighiales; Euphorbiaceae
Description: long non-coding RNA (MESC_LNC004261)
Source: RNAcentral